Phalacrocorax carbo (great cormorant) is the source of this 784-nucleotide non-coding RNA. NCBI's taxonomy places the organism in Eukaryota, Metazoa, Chordata, Aves, Suliformes, Phalacrocoracidae. The record is from RefSeq and is a predicted model, not a curated record.
ACACACUCUCUCUCUCUCACUUACUCAAUCGCCUACCAUGGGUCAUGCAAGCACUCCAGCUGUAAAAAGUCAAAACAGCUUAAAGUAAUCCAGGGACAGCACUAGUACUUUGUAUCUGACACUUCAUUGAAAAAAUAGACUGUGCCUGAGUAGAACAAGAAAGAAGGCGGAUGUGCUUAAAAGUUUUCAGAGAAGAAAACAUACAACAUUUUAAUAAUGAAAUAAAGUUCUCAAGGGAGGAAAAAUAAAGCAGAACACAGUUCACAGACUGAAGAAUAAGUAUUGAUUGACACAGUGAGAAAGAUUGUUACUCCAGAUAUGGAACCCUAAUUGAGAAAGGAUUGAAUAAGACCGUAUUUCCACUGCAACUUCUUCAAGGCACAACACUUGCCACUGGCUUUUAGUGUCACUCUUUAAAUGGUCAACAUGGAAGCCUGAGCCCACACAAUCUGCAAAGAGCCAAAGACCUCCUCUUCACAACUGAAACCUUACCAUUUCCUGACAACAUACCUAUGAUGCUUGACGCCUGUAGUCAUACAGCAAGACGUAAAAUAUGCUUCAUGUCUUCUAUCGUUAAAAAUAGCAGAGAUUACCAAGGAGCUACCAUUGCUUUUUUUAAAGCGUCACUCUUGGAACAGACAUCUUUUGCUGACAGAACAGUCAUGCAUAAGAAUGACUUUUUUGUUGUUGUUUUAAAUACUCCCUUUAACCACUGUAUGUUAUCUUGCAGAGGACUUUUCCCUGAAUUCAGAUAAAUAUAAAAAAAUAAAAGUGUUGCAGUUCA